CCUACGGGGGGCUGCAGUGGGGAAUAUUGCACAAUGGGGGAAACCCUGAUGCAGCGACGCCGCGUGAGUGAAGAAGUAAUUCGUUAUGUAAAGCUCUGUCAGCAGGGAAGAAAAUGACGGUACCUGAGUAAGAAGCCCCGGCUAACUACGUGCCAGCAGCCGCGGUAAUACUUAGGGGGCAAGCGUUAACCGGAUUUACUGGGGGAAAGGGGAGCGGAGACGGCAGGGCAAGUCUGGAGUGAAAGGCGGGGGGUCAACCCCCGGACUGCUCUGGAAACUGUACGGCUGGAGUGCAGGAGAGGUAAGCGGAAUUCCUGGUGUAGCGGUGAAAUGCGUAGAUAUAAGGAGGAACACCAGUGGCGAAGGCGGCUUACUGGACUGUAACUGACGUUGAGGCUCGAAAGCGUGGGGAGCAAACAGGAUUAGAUACCCGGGUAGUC
This 440-nucleotide ribosomal RNA is filed under the name uncultured bacterium. RNAcentral describes it as "partial 16S ribosomal RNA". It matches the Rfam family "Bacterial small subunit ribosomal RNA", at positions 338 to 795 of the family's 1533-position model. The record is from RNAcentral.